CGGGCUGCCUCCGCAUGGACCUACACGGCAGCGACGGCGACGCGCCCGUGGCUGAUGCCUUACCCGGUCUGUCUGGACGAAAGCGCAUCCGCAGUUUUGAAGAUAUAAGCAAAUUGCUGAUCUUUAGAACAGCAAGCAAGUAUCACACCUUUGCUACAGGACCAGAAAACUGCAACAGCUCAUUCCACCAGUUCCAGGUGGGAGGCAGCGCUGAACCAGCCAAACAGGACUGGCGGAAAGGGUUCCAAGGGUGUUUCAGAACAAAGGAAGACUUUAGACCUCCAGUUUGUGCCUCUUGUCCUGUCACCGGACACCACAGAGAAGAGAAAUUUUAG
RNAcentral lists this long non-coding RNA (335 nucleotides) under Struthio camelus australis. RNAcentral describes it as "lncRNA (ENSSCUG00000004472.1)". Lineage: Eukaryota; Metazoa; Chordata; Aves; Struthioniformes; Struthionidae. The record is from RNAcentral.